This 460-nucleotide ribosomal RNA is filed under the name uncultured bacterium. RNAcentral describes it as "partial 16S ribosomal RNA". It matches the Rfam family "Bacterial small subunit ribosomal RNA", at positions 338 to 795 of the family's 1533-position model. The record is from RNAcentral.
CCUACGGGGGGCAGCAGUGAGGAAUAUUGGUCAAUGGACGAGAGUCUGAACCAGCCAAGUAGCGUGAAGGAUGACUGCCCUAUGGGUUGUAAACUGCUUUUAUAUGGGAGUAAAGUGUUCCACGUGUGGGGUUUUGUAUGUACCAUAUGAAUAAGGAUCGGCUAACUCCGUGCCAGCAGCCGCGGUAAUACGGAGGGUCCGAGCGUUAUCCGGAUUUAUUGGGUUUAAAGGGAGCGUAGGUGGAUUGUUAAGGCAGUUGUGAAAGUUUGGGGCUCAACCGUAAAAUUGCAGUUGAAACUGGCAGUCUUGAGUACAGGAGAGGUGGGCGGAAUUCGUGGUGUAGCGGUGAAAUGCUUAGAUAUGACGAAGAACUCCGAUUGCGAAGGCAGCUCACUGGACUGCAACUGACACUGAGGCUCGAAAGUGUGGGUAUCAAACAGGAUUAGAUACCCUGGUAGUC